AUCCAGAUGACGAGUCUCAAAUAGGAUGAAACGCGUGUUCUGAAU
This is a non-coding RNA of Schistosoma mattheei, 45 nucleotides long. Lineage: Eukaryota; Metazoa; Platyhelminthes; Trematoda; Strigeidida; Schistosomatidae. The record is from Rfam.